CGUGUAGGUGGGUUCUCAAGUCAAAUGUGAAAACCGGUGGCUCAACUGCCGGCCUGCAUUUGAAACUGCGAACCUUGAGUACGGGAGAGGAAAGCGGAAUUCCUGGUGUAGCGGUGAAAUGCGUAGAUAUCAGGAGGAACACCGGUGGCGAAGGCGGCUUUCUGGCCCGAUACUGACACUGAGGCGCGAAGGCCAGGGGAGCAAACA
This 207-nucleotide ribosomal RNA is filed under the name uncultured bacterium. RNAcentral's name for it is "partial 16S ribosomal RNA". It matches the Rfam family "Bacterial small subunit ribosomal RNA", at positions 568 to 774 of the family's 1533-position model. The record is from RNAcentral.